This 370-nucleotide ribosomal RNA is filed under the name uncultured bacterium. RNAcentral describes it as "bacterial SSU rRNA". It matches the Rfam family "Bacterial small subunit ribosomal RNA", at positions 527 to 896 of the family's 1533-position model. The record is from RNAcentral.
GGAGGGUGCAAGCGUUAAUCGGAAUUACUGGGCGUAAAGCGCAGGCAGGCGGUUUGUUAAGUCAGAUGUGAAAUCCCCGGGCUCAACCUGGGAACUGCAUCUGAUACUGGCAAGCUUGAGUCUCGUAGAGGGGGGUAGAGUUCCAGGUGUAGCGGUGAAAUGCGUAGAGAUCUGGAGGAAUACCGGUGGCGAAGGCGGCCCCCUGGACGAAGACUGACGCUCAGGUGCGAAAGCGUGGGGAGCAAACAGGAUUAGAUACCCUGGUAGUCCACGCCGUAAACGAUGUCGACUUGGAGGUUGUGCCCUUGAGGCGUGGCUUCCGGAGCUAACGCGUUAAGUCGACCGCCUGGGGAGUACGGCCGCAAGGUUA